This 460-nucleotide ribosomal RNA is filed under the name uncultured bacterium. Its description in RNAcentral is "partial 16S ribosomal RNA". It matches the Rfam family "Bacterial small subunit ribosomal RNA", at positions 338 to 795 of the family's 1533-position model. The record is from RNAcentral.
CCUACGGGAGGCAGCAGUGAGGAAUAUUGGUCAAUGGGCGUAAGCCUGAACCAGCCAAGCCGCGUGCGGGAUGAAGGCUCUAUGGAUCGUAAACCUCUUUUAUAAGGGAGUAAAGUGAGAGACGUGUCCCGUUUUGUAAGUACCUUACGAAUAAGGAUCGGCUAACUCCGUGCCAGCAGCCGCGGUAAUACGGAGGAUCCAAGCGUUAUCCGGAUUUAUUGGGUUUAAAGGGAGCGUAGGUGGGUUGUUAAGUGAGUGGUGAAAGUUUGCGGCUCAACCGUAAAAUUGCAUGUGAUACUGGAAGUCUAGAGUAUAGAUGAGGUAGGCGGAAUUUGUGGUGUAGCGGUGAAAUGCGUAGAUAUCACGAAGAACACCGAUUGCGAAGGCAGCUUACUAAACUGUAACUGACGUUGAGGCUCGAAAGUGUGGGUAGCAAACAGGAUUAGAUACCCUUGUAGUC